GACAGAGGUGCCGAGCGUUAUCCGGAAUCACUGGGCUUAAAGCGUGUGUAGGCGGACUUCUAAGUACCUUGUGAAAUCCCGGGGCUCAACCCCGGAACUGCAUUUGAUACUGCUCGGCUAGAGUACUGGAGAGGAGACUGGAAUUUAGGGUGUAGCAGUGAAAUGCGUAGAUAUCGUAAGGAAGACCAGUGGCGAAGGCGAGCCUCUGGACAGUUACUGACGCUGAGGCACGAAGGCCAGGGGAGCAAACGGG
RNAcentral lists this ribosomal RNA (253 nucleotides) under uncultured bacterium. Its description in RNAcentral is "partial 16S ribosomal RNA". It matches the Rfam family "Bacterial small subunit ribosomal RNA", at positions 524 to 776 of the family's 1533-position model. The record is from RNAcentral.